GCCGGGUUGGUGGAAUCGGCAUACACAGAUGUCUCAAAAGCAUCCGUCCGAAAGGACUUGCGGGUUCGAGUCCCGCACCCGGCA
RNAcentral lists this transfer RNA (84 nucleotides) under Streptomyces sp. SolWspMP-sol7th. Its description in RNAcentral is "tRNA_Leu_CAA". It matches the Rfam family "tRNA". Rfam says of the family: Transfer RNA (tRNA) molecules are approximately 80 nucleotides in length. Their secondary structure includes four short double-helical elements and three loops (D, anti-codon, and T loops). RNAcentral also lists the same sequence under 11 other names. The record is from RNAcentral. Lineage: Bacteria; Bacillati; Actinomycetota; Actinomycetes; Kitasatosporales; Streptomycetaceae.